AGAACGAACGCUGGCGGCAUGCCUAACACAUGCAAGCCGAACGAGACCUUCGGGUCUAGUGGCGCACGGGUGCGUAACGCGUGGGAAUCUGCCCUUGGGUUCGGAAUAACAGCGAGAAAUUACUGCUAAUACCGGAUGAUGACGUAAGUCCAAAGAUUUAUCGCCCAAGGAUGAGCCCGCGUAGGAUUAGCUUGUUGGUGAGGUAAGAGCUCACCAAGGCGACGAUCCUUAGCUGGUCUGAGAGGAUGAUCAGCCACACUGGGACUGAGACGACCGGCCAGACUCCGUACGGGGA
RNAcentral lists this ribosomal RNA (295 nucleotides) under uncultured soil bacterium. RNAcentral's name for it is "partial 16S ribosomal RNA". It matches the Rfam family "Bacterial small subunit ribosomal RNA", at positions 26 to 346 of the family's 1533-position model. The record is from RNAcentral.